This is a long non-coding RNA of Oncorhynchus keta (chum salmon), 639 nucleotides long. RefSeq lists it as uncharacterized. The record is from RefSeq and is a predicted model, not a curated record. The transcript is spliced from 5 exons. NCBI's taxonomy places the organism in Eukaryota, Metazoa, Chordata, Actinopteri, Salmoniformes, Salmonidae.
AAUGGAUUAAAUGAAUGGAUGAGGUGAAUGGAUUAAAUGAAUGGAUGAGGUGAAUGGAUUAAAUGAAUGGAUGAGGUGAAUGGAUUAAAUGAAUGGAUGAGGUGAAUGGAUUAAAUGAAUGGAUGAGGUGAAUGGAUUAAAUGAAUGGAUGAGGUGAAUGGAUUAAAUGAAUGGAUGAGGUGAAUGGAUUAAAUGAAUGGAUGAGGUGAAUGGAUUAAAUGAAUGGAUGAGGUGAAUGGAUUAAAUGAAUGGAUGAGGUGAAUGGAUUAAAUGAAUGGAUGAGGUGAAUGGAUUAAAUGAAUGGAUGAGGUGAAUGGAUUAAAUGAAUGGAUGAGGUGAAUGGAUUAAAUGAAUGGAUGAGGUGAAUGGAUUAAAUGAAUGGAUGAGGUGAAUGGAUUAAAUGAAUGGAUGAGGUGAAUGGAUUAAAUGAAUGGAUGAGGUGAAUGGAUUAAAUGAAUGGAUGAGGUGAAUGGAUUAAAUGAAUGGAUGAGGUGAAUGGAUUAAAUGAAUGGUUGAGGUGAAUGGAUUAAAUGAAUGGAUGAGGUGAAUGGAUUAAAUGAAUGGAUGAGGUGAAUGAACGAGGUGAAUGGAUUAAAUGAAUGGUUGAGGUGAAUGGUUGAGGUGAAUGGAUUAAAUGAA